CCAGAGAUGGAUGGUGCCUUCGGGAACUCUGACACAGGUGCUGCAUGGCUGUCGUCAGCUCGUGUCGUGAGAUGUUGGGUUAAGUCCGUAACGAGCGCAACCCUUGUCCUUAGUUACCAGCACGUUAUGGUGGGCACUCUAAGGAGACUGCCGGUGACAAACCGGAAGGAAGGUGGGGAGUGACGUCAAGUCAUCAUGGCCCUUACGGCCUGGGCUACACACGUGCUACAAUGGUCGGUACAAAGGGUUGCCAAGCCGCGAGGUGGAGCUAAUCCCAUAAAACCGAUCGUAGUCCGGAUCGCAGUCUGCAACUCGACUGCGUGAAGUCGGAAUCGCUAGUAAUCGUGAAUCAGAAUGUCACGGUGAAUACGUUCCCGGGCCUU
Molecule: ribosomal RNA, 383 nt
Filed under: uncultured Pseudomonas sp.
Lineage: Bacteria; Pseudomonadati; Pseudomonadota; Gammaproteobacteria; Pseudomonadales; Pseudomonadaceae
Description: bacterial SSU rRNA
Rfam family: Bacterial small subunit ribosomal RNA
Source: RNAcentral